GUGAACGCUGGCGGUAGGCCUAACGCAUGCAAGUCGAACGGCAGCACAGUAAGAGCUUGCUCUUACGGGUGGCGAGUGGCGGACGGGUGAGGAAUACAUCGGAAUCUACUUUUUCGUGGGGGAUAACGUAGGGAAACUUACGCUAAUACCGCAUACGACCUACGGGUGAAAGCAGGGGAUCUUCGGACCUUGCGCGAUUGAAUGAGCCUAUGUCGGAUUAGCUAGUUGGCGGGGUAAAGGCCCACCAAGGCGACGAUCCGUAGCUGGUCUGAGAGGAUGAUCAGCCACACUGGAACUGAGACACGGUCCAGACUCCUACGGGAGGCAGCAGUGGGGAAUAUUGGACAAUGGGCGCAAGCCUGAUCCAGCCAUACCGCGUGGGUGAAGAAGGCCUUCGGGUUGUAAAGCCCUUUUGUUGGGAAAGAAAAGCAGCAGGUUAAUACCCCGCUGUUCUGACGGUACCCAAAGAAUAAGCACCGGCUAACUUCGUG
This 491-nucleotide ribosomal RNA is filed under the name uncultured bacterium. Its description in RNAcentral is "partial 16S ribosomal RNA". It matches the Rfam family "Bacterial small subunit ribosomal RNA", at positions 29 to 507 of the family's 1533-position model. The record is from RNAcentral.